AUAAAGUUGUGUGUUUGUGAGUUAUCCGAAGCCAGGAGCCAGGUGCUUCUCCUGGUCUCCCACGUGGGUACAGGGCCCAAGCACCUGGGUCAUCCUCCACUGCCUUCCCGGGCCACAGCAGAGAGCUGGACUGGAAGAGGGGCAACCGGGACAGAAUCCGGCGCCCUGAGUGGGACUAGAACCCGAUGUGCUGGUGCCGCAGGCAGAGGAUUAGCCUAUUUAGCCGCGGUGCCAGCCAAAACACGAGCUAUUUCUAGUAAUUCACAUGGCUAAGGCUUUUCCAGUGAAUUUUUAUUCACGUGCUCAACUUUAGGUGAAGUGUCAGCCAAUCCAUAUGGUCUAAGAAAAAAGUAAAUGAAUUGCCACUUCUUGAUACUUUUGAUGUACUACCCAUAAGCAAUCAAAUAAUAAUUUUGUUUAUUCCAUAUUCAUAGGCUAAAGUUUCAAAAUGUUACUUAAAAGUAGAUGAGAGUUAUUUGCAAAUGAAAUAGAAUUUAUGGGAUGUCCUAGCCAUUUUGAUGGGGAGCGUGCUAAAAUCCCUGCUCUUUUUCCACAGUGCCUUUCUAUCACACAUGCCACUGGUUUACCCUGCAGCUCACCCAGCACAUCCCCAUUCAGAAGGCAGACUUCACCAGUGCCUUCACUUGGAAGGAGGACCAGAUGUUCCAGUAGCUCCUGGCUGAAAGCAAGAAAGCAACAUAUGCUGGACAAGAAAUCUUCCGGUGUUUCUGAUGUGAGGAUGAUGAUUUUAAAAAAUAGCAUGCAAUUUUCAUCUGUAUCUGCUAAUGAAAAAUAA
Long non-coding RNA from Oryctolagus cuniculus (rabbit), 796 nucleotides. The record is from Ensembl. NCBI's taxonomy places the organism in Eukaryota, Metazoa, Chordata, Mammalia, Lagomorpha, Leporidae.